RNAcentral lists this ribosomal RNA (465 nucleotides) under uncultured bacterium. RNAcentral describes it as "partial 16S ribosomal RNA". It matches the Rfam family "Bacterial small subunit ribosomal RNA", at positions 338 to 795 of the family's 1533-position model. The record is from RNAcentral.
CCUACGGGAGGCAGCAGUAGGGAAUCUUCCACAAUGGACGAAAGUCUGAUGGAGCAACGCCGCGUGAGUGAAGAAUGGUUUCGGCUCGUACAGCUCUGUUGGUAGUGAAGAAAGAUAGAGGUAGUAACUGGCCUUUAUUUGACGGUAAUUACUUAGAAAGUCACGGCUAACUAAGUUCCAGCAGCCGCGGUAAUACGUAGGUGGAAAGCGUUGUCCGGAUUUAUUGGGCUGAAAGCGAGUGCAGGCGGUUCAAUAAGUCUGAUGUGAAAGCCGUCGGCUCAACCGGAGAAUUGCAUCAGAAACUGUUGAACUUGAGUGCAGAAGAGGAGAGUGGAACUCCAUGUGUAGCGGUGGAAUGCGUAGAUAUAUGGAAGAACACCAGUGGCGAAGGCGGCUCUCUGGUCUGCAACUGACGCUGAGGCUCGAAAGCAUGGGUAGCGAACAGGAUUAGAUACCCCAGUAGUC